This is a long non-coding RNA of Cyprinus carpio carpio, 664 nucleotides long. NCBI's taxonomy places the organism in Eukaryota, Metazoa, Chordata, Actinopteri, Cypriniformes, Cyprinidae. The record is from Ensembl.
GCGUUGAAGUGAGAGUCAUGCAGUUCACCGGGCCUAGUCUGCGUAGAGAUAUUUACACGCCAUUUAACACAUUAAGGACUUGCUAAAUUGUCAUCGCACUACAUUCUGUCUAUUUCCGGGUGAAAUCACAGCUCAGAAGUUCGGGUGUUUGUGGACUGUUGACAAAAUAGCGGUUACGUGUGGAAAGGGAGGGUGUACAAAGCAAACAGGGAAAAAAAAUCGAGCGAUCGCUUGUUUCUCUCAGCCUGCUGAAAGAAGCAGGAAGCGAACUAGAGCUGUUCACCUACACCGUUUCGAAUGAAAGACUGCAGUGGACAUUUGAAGGGGAAGAGAGCUCAGCUUUUGCCUUCUUACUGUGAUUGAAACCUGACCGGUAUUUGGAGUUCAAUCCGAGACGCGGACAGUUAACUUUUAACAUUUCGUUUCGGUGAAUUCUAUAGAACUGGCGUCGGACAUUCCAUUCCAGUUGGAAUAACGUGUUCUAAAGAUGCAGCAUCCUCUUCAUCCCAUCAUGGAGCAGGCUGAGAUAUAAGAGACUGUAGAGACAGCAGCUUUUAGGAAAUGCCGGGUUUUUCGGUAGUGGGCGGAACCACUGCACAAAUGGCAAUCAGGUGCUCACCUAUUAUCGUCCUUUUUUGAUUUCAGCGAAUCAGUUAGAGCGAAC